This 846-nucleotide long non-coding RNA is filed under the name Capsicum annuum. Its description in RNAcentral is "long non-coding RNA (CANN_LNC008629)". The record is from RNAcentral. Lineage: Eukaryota; Viridiplantae; Streptophyta; Magnoliopsida; Solanales; Solanaceae.
AAUAAGCACCCGGGCGUAAGAGAUCCUCUCAAUUUUUGUUGUGCACGCAUCAACAAAUAAGGGAUUUCCUAGCGCGCUACUGAUUCUACUCAGAGCUCCCCUACUACAGCAAUUUAGUGGCAAGUUUGGAAACUUCACCCAGAUUGAAAUAGUAUUUAAGACUUCUGCAGUGAAAUCAAAAUUUGUCGUCCAUGCUUUCACUAUUAUGGGUCGAUUAUUUGGUGUAUGGUGUCCCGAUGCCAACACCACACCCUUAUCCUCCAUGGAUUUAAUAACACCAUGAAGAAACCUUUGUUGUGAUAGUAUAUUUUAGGCUUGGCUGCAAAAUUUCACUAUGAUUCUAUAUAUCUCUCCAGUGCUUCCAUAGUUGGUGAAUCCCCAACUACAUACAGUAUUACAGCCUUUCUCCACUUCUCAGUCUCCUGGUUCGCAUCAUUUGGCUGCAAUUGAACCAUUUUUGCACCAUCCUGUACUAUUCGAGCAAUAUAAUCCAACUCCGUGCCUCUCCCUUCCAUCCUAGCUAGUUCCCGCAAAUAUUGUCCCCCACUAUUUCGAUUCUUGCGACUGUGGCAUAUUUAACUCCCUCUUAGCUUGGACUUCAUCUUUCAUUUGUUGCGAAAUAGGCGUGAUUACUUGACUAUUAGUUGGGAUGGUGAUCUCUGUUGUCCUUACCUGUGUUGACCCAGAAGUCCCCAAAUUCAAUGGGAUAGUGUCCAAACCUAUGCACUGUAUCAUUAUUCGGUCUUACGUGUAGCAUUUUCUAAAGAUAGUAUUAGUUAUAUGGCUAUGUACCGACUUUAAAGGACAUAUGAAAACAAAUUUAAUUCUAAGUAUAAAACUUCUUAU